GACGAACGCUGGCGGCGUGCUUAACACAUGCAAGUCGAACGGAAAGGCCCUGCUUUUGUGGGGUGCUCGAGUUGCGAAGGGGUGAGUAACACGUGAGUAACCUGCCCUUGACUUUGGGAUAACUUCAUGAAACUGGGGCUAAUCCCGGAUAGGAGCUCCUGCUGCAUGGUGGGGGUUGGAAAGUUUCGGCGGUUGGGGAUGGACUCGCGGCUUAUCAGCUUGUUGGUGGGGUAGUGGCUUACCAAGGCUUUGAGAGGUAGCCGGCCUGAGAGGGUGACCGGCCACAUUGGGACUGAGAUACGGCACAGACUCCUACGGGAGGCAGCAGUGGGGAAUAUUGCACAAUGGGCGGAAGCCUGAUGCAGCAACGCCGCGUGCGGGAUGACAGCCUUCGGGUUGUAAUCCGCUUUCGCCUGUGACGAAGCGUGAGUGACGGUAAUGGGUAAAGAAGCACCGGCUAACUACGUG
This 468-nucleotide ribosomal RNA is filed under the name uncultured bacterium. Its description in RNAcentral is "partial 16S ribosomal RNA". It matches the Rfam family "Bacterial small subunit ribosomal RNA", at positions 28 to 507 of the family's 1533-position model. The record is from RNAcentral.